CACUCUGCACUCAAUCCUAGGGUGACCAAACGUCCGUAUUUCCCGGGACAUGUCCGUAUUUCACGUCCUGUCCCGGGCGUCCCGGGUUUUUUUUAAAAAGUGAGGAAAUGUCCUGGUUUUUAAAUUACCUUCAUUGGACCAUUAAAUUUACAGGCACUAGGGCACUGCGCACGGCGCUGCGUGUGACGUAAUCCCUGAGCCGCGUCAGUGAGGGCAGCCCUGUUCUUAAUCAGAAUGUAGACAGCGUGACUGUCAGUACGCAAGCAACAUGCCGAAGCGCAAGUGUAUGUUUACCGAUGAUUUACAAAAGAGUUUCCCCGCUUUCAGACCGGGUUGAGACAAAUGGGAAGCCUUGUGCACAGUGUGCAAAGCAGGCACAUAUGUCUCGGUAUCCAAUGGAGGUGCAAGGGAUCUGAAAAGCCACCUGGACACCGAGAAGCAUAAAACAGCUGUCCGA
Thalassophryne amazonica is the source of this 457-nucleotide long non-coding RNA. RefSeq lists it as uncharacterized. Lineage: Eukaryota; Metazoa; Chordata; Actinopteri; Batrachoidiformes; Batrachoididae. The transcript has 3 exons. The record is from RefSeq and is a predicted model, not a curated record.